RNAcentral lists this ribosomal RNA (429 nucleotides) under Verrucomicrobiota bacterium. Its description in RNAcentral is "Verrucomicrobia bacterium partial 16S ribosomal RNA". It matches the Rfam family "Bacterial small subunit ribosomal RNA", at positions 355 to 776 of the family's 1533-position model. Lineage: Bacteria; Pseudomonadati; Verrucomicrobiota. The record is from RNAcentral.
UAGGGAAUCUUCCGCAAUGGACGAAAGUCUGACGGAGCAACGCCGCGUGAGUGAAGAAGGAUUUCGGUUCGUAAAACUCUGUUGUUAGGGAAGAAAAAAUGUAUAGUAACUAUAUACAAAAGAGACGGUACCUAACCAGAAAGCCACGGCUAACUACGUGCCAGCAGCCGCGGUAAUACGUAGGUGGCAAGCGUUGUCCGGAAUUAUUGGGCGUAAAGCGCGCGCAGGUGGUUUAGAAAGUCUGAUGUGAAAGCCCACGGCUCAACCGUGGGGGGUCAUUGGAAACUAAUAAACUUGAGUGCAGGAGAGAAAAGUGGAAUUCCUAGUGUAGCGAUGAAAUGCGUAGAGAUUAGGAGGAACACCGGUGGCGAAAGCGGCUUUUUGGCCUGCAACUGACACUGAGGCGCGAAAGCGUGGGGAGCAAACAGG